UGAGGAAUAUUGGUCAAUGGGCGAGAGCCUGAACCAGCCACGUCGCGUGAAGGAAGACUGACCUUACGGUUUGUAAACUUCUUUUGUAGAGGGGUAAUGGCAGAUACGUGUAUUUGCGUUAAAGUACUCUACGAAUAAGCAUCGGCUAACUCCGUGCCAGCAGCCGCGGUAAUACGGGGGAUGCGAGCGUUAUCCGGAAUUAUUGGGUGUAAAGGGUGCGCAGGUGGCUAAUCAGGUCAGUGGUGAAAAGCGAUGGAUCAACCAUGGUCGUGCCAUUGAAACCGUAUAGCUAGAGAGGAGACGAGGUAGGCGGAAUGUGUGGUGUAGCGGUGAAAUGCAGAGAUAUCACACAGAACUCCGAUUGCGAAGGCAGCGUACCAGGAUUUAACUGACACUUAGGAACGACAGAGUGGGGAUCAAACAGG
Molecule: ribosomal RNA, 425 nt
Filed under: Verrucomicrobiota bacterium
Lineage: Bacteria; Pseudomonadati; Verrucomicrobiota
Description: Verrucomicrobia bacterium partial 16S ribosomal RNA
Rfam family: Bacterial small subunit ribosomal RNA
Source: RNAcentral